This 104-nucleotide transfer RNA is filed under the name Photobacterium atrarenae. Its description in RNAcentral is "tRNA-OTHER". Lineage: Bacteria; Pseudomonadati; Pseudomonadota; Gammaproteobacteria; Vibrionales; Vibrionaceae. The record is from RNAcentral.
CGGUGAAUCGCGUAGUUUGGUAGCGCAUCUUAGGGGUUUAGGAAUAGCGGACCAGAGGGUCGGGUACGGAAGGCCGCCCCGUUCGAAUCCCUCUUCACCGACCA